GUGCACCAGUCGAGAAACUUUACAAUGUGCGAAAGCACGAUAAGGGAACUCUGAGUGCCUCCUAAGGAGGCUGUUCAGGUGUCUAAAAGCACCUGAAGGAAGGGCUGGGUAAGACCGGUGCCAGCCGCCGCGGUAACACCGGCAGCCCAAGUGGUAGCCACGUUUAUUGGGUCUAAAGCGUCCGUAGCCGGCUGGGUAAGUUCCUUGGGAAAUUUGGCUGCUUAACAGUCAAGCUUUCAGGGAAUACUGCCCGGCUUGGGACCGGGAGAGGUCAGAGGUACUCCAGGGGUAGGGUGAAAUCCAUUAAUCCUUGGGGGACCACCGGUAGCGAAGGCGUCUGACCAGACCGGGUCCGACGGUGAGGGACGAAGGCUA
Molecule: ribosomal RNA, 375 nt
Filed under: uncultured microorganism
Description: bacterial SSU rRNA
Rfam family: Archaeal small subunit ribosomal RNA
Source: RNAcentral